RNAcentral lists this unclassified non-coding RNA (231 nucleotides) under fungal sp. RNAcentral describes it as "partial internal transcribed spacer region". The stretch from base 1 to 52 matches the Rfam family "Eukaryotic small subunit ribosomal RNA", at positions 1780 to 1831 of the family's 1831-position model. The record is from RNAcentral. Lineage: Eukaryota; Fungi.
AAGUACAAGUCGUAACAAGGUAUCCGUAGGUGAACCUGCGGAUGGAUCAUUACCAAAGGAUUUUUCCUGACGUACUGUGAACUGUAUUGAAUGCAUAGUUAGUGAGGGAGGUUUUGUAGAGUUUAAUCUCUAUACCACUAACUAUAACAAAACGUAUUUACUCCAUAAACUGACGUCUGCUUUAGCUUAAUAAACUAAAGACAACUUUUAGCAAUGGAUCUCUUGGCUCUC